GAUGAACGCUGGCGGCGUGCCUAAUACAUGCAAGUCGAGCGAACGGACGAGAAGCUUGCUUCUCUGAUGUUAGCGGCGGACGGGUGAGUAACACGUGGAUAACCUACCUAUAAGACUGGGAUAACUUCGGGAAACCGGAGCUAAUACCGGAUAAUAUUUUGAACCGCAUGGUUCAAAAGUGAAAGACGGUCUUGCUGUCACUUAUAGAUGGAUCCGCGCUGCAUUAGCUAGUUGGUAAGGUAACGGCUUACCAAGGCAACGAUGCAUAGCCGACCUGAGAGGGUGAUCGGCCACACUGGAACUGAGACACGGCCCAGACUCCUACGGGAGGCAGCAGUAGGGAAUCUUCCGCAAUGGGCGAAAGCCUGACGGAGCAACGCCGCGUGAGUGAUGAAGGUCUUAGGAUCGUAAAACUCUGUUAUUAGGGAAGAACAUAUGUGUAAGUAACUGUGCACAUCUUGACGGUACCUAAUCAGAAAGCCACGGCUAACUACGUG
This 497-nucleotide ribosomal RNA is filed under the name uncultured bacterium. Its description in RNAcentral is "partial 16S ribosomal RNA". It matches the Rfam family "Bacterial small subunit ribosomal RNA", at positions 28 to 507 of the family's 1533-position model. The record is from RNAcentral.